AGUGUGCUCCGCAGCACAUCUCACGUAGC
Molecule: small RNA, 29 nt
Filed under: Bombyx mori (domestic silkworm)
Lineage: Eukaryota; Metazoa; Arthropoda; Insecta; Lepidoptera; Bombycidae
Description: ovarian small RNA-12309
Source: RNAcentral